Long non-coding RNA from Rhodamnia argentea, 254 nucleotides. RefSeq lists it as uncharacterized. The transcript has 3 exons. The record is from RefSeq and is a predicted model, not a curated record. NCBI's taxonomy places the organism in Eukaryota, Viridiplantae, Streptophyta, Magnoliopsida, Myrtales, Myrtaceae.
GUUGCUUUCGAAGAUGAAUUUCGGGCAGGUGAAGAAAUUAAGAAGCUUCGCAUAACCCCCAAAUCUCAGCUCAGAUUGAAACGAAAAUCCACAAGGUAUCAAGAUCUGCAAAUUGAAGAAUCAAAACGCACUAAUAAUUAAGAAGAAACAUACAAGAUGAGCCGUCAAAGCCCAAAACACAUGAGAGACAAAAGCUUCUUCCUUUCAAACACAAACCCACGAGAGAGAGAGAGAGAGAAGUAAGGGGAGAGGGG